CACGGAAAUGACUCAAAUUUACCAGUUCAAAACGCUUUGUUUUUUUGUUUUGUUUUUGUCGAUCGGAGACGCCGUGAACUGAAAGCGGAAACGCCUGAGAUAAGGAGUGAAGAUUUGCAGGUUGUAUAAUUGCAGGCGCUCCAUGUGUGCCCUUCUCAUUGCGGCAAAGGCCAGAAAUGUACUCUACGCAGAUAUACUGUAGGACAUGACAUUUGCAGCCUAGCAAAUUGCCUAGAAAAAACAAAAACGUUCAAGAACUGAACAAAGAUGGCAGCAUAAUGGCAUUUGAAGAGGUGCAUGCAAGCUGCUUCCGUGGCCCCCGGAGAGAGGAACGUAAGGCGGAGGGUGAGGCAUCCCAAAAUAUGAGGAUAAAUCGCAGGUAAUCCUGCAGGACCGGCGCCCUGGUAAUCAACACUCUUCCAACUGGAAACAUUUUACAAUUCUUCAUCUUAAUUUAACUUCUCUCCUUUUUUUUCUGCCGUUCCUUUACCUGGUAAUUCUUAGCAGCGGGUGCAAUCAUUUGCACUGGCGUUUGAAAGGAGAGGCUGCAGAAACGUGAAAUGGAGAGCUUUUAAAAGGGGGGGAGGGGGCGAUAAGCAAAUCAAAUUAAUGACAAUGAGUGUUUGUGGAGAGAAGGCAGGCAGAGAGCUUGUUUGAGCCCAUCGUGCGUGCCAUGUUAAACACUUCACUCGCCGUGGAGGGGCUAAUCCAGUCUCCGACAGCUAGCUGAUUAUACGAAUAAACUACACUCGCUCGCCGCCGAGAGAAAGGAGCAUCCCUCAUUAACGUUCAAGCUCACUCCAACAAGGAAGUAAUUAAGACGCCACCCCUUCCCCCCCGCAAACCCCCCAAAAAAGGAGGAAUGAUUUUAAGUGUUGUCUAAUAGACCGGCUUGAAGGUGUUUAUUUUAUAUUGUCUCAGUGCAGAAGUCAUUAUGCGGCUGAAGAAGGGCUUACAGGGAGCUAAACGCAGCGCAGCAAGGCGAGGCGAGUUUGUGGUUGUUGAGUAAAGUCAGAUGGCUCGGGGCUCGCCUGCGACACUCGCUCUGCGAUGCGCUCCAGAGUUGCAGGAGCAUAUGAACUGUCGCUUGUUGUUUUAAAUAAUAGAUUGCCUCCCCUAAUUUCCUGCCUGAUAUUUUUGGCAGAGUCAAGAGUCUUUUGGAUGGGCAGCAUCUGUCAGACCUCGGCGCAGGCCAAGAAAACAUUCCCCAUCCGAGCUGUAAGAGAAAAAAAGCUCAUGUUAAGCUUGAAUAUUGCGACAGUCGGCCACCGGCUCUGCAGGUUACGUGUGCUUCAGGAGGCUGGUGAAACAGAACUUUUAAUAGAUUUCAAGAAGUUUCCAGUCCUCUUUGAACACUUUUAUCAUUGGUUUUAGUUUUGUGUGGAUCGCGUGUGCGAUUGAGGGUUAAGUAGUUUAACAGUGAUUACAGUGGAGUGAUAUUUGAUUAUUAUCUCCUGGAAUGGCAACUCCUCCGGCUUUCUGUUCUCUUAACAAUAGUUUAAUUGUUAGUUUGGACACCCACUCAAUAGACAGGCAAAAUGAAGAGCAGUAAUGGAAAAGAAUUAUGGGGGGAAUGGCAUAAAAUGAAUGCAGUUAUAAAAGCACCUGCAUGUCUUGUUUUUUUUUUUUAUUUUUUUUUUAUGAAAUAUAUUUUGAUUAGCCAUGAAGAGCGUCUUUACCAUGACCCGUUCAAUCAAUAACACAUGCUGGAAUUUGUAAAGCACCUUCGCAGAGCUUUAUUUAUAAUAUAUAUAGUUAUAGUGUAUGUGUGUGUAUAUAUAUAUAUAUACAC
Long non-coding RNA from Cyprinus carpio (common carp), 1792 nucleotides. RefSeq lists it as uncharacterized. The record is from RefSeq and is a predicted model, not a curated record. NCBI's taxonomy places the organism in Eukaryota, Metazoa, Chordata, Actinopteri, Cypriniformes, Cyprinidae. The transcript is spliced from 4 exons.